Molecule: ribosomal RNA, 462 nt
Filed under: Triticum aestivum (bread wheat)
Lineage: Eukaryota; Viridiplantae; Streptophyta; Magnoliopsida; Poales; Poaceae
Description: partial small subunit ribosomal RNA
Source: RNAcentral
AUGGCGGCAAAGAAACAUCUCUUUCGCUUUGGGUCUUUCGCGAUAAAGAACGAGUCGGAAAUUCGUUUAUGGGAAGACAUCUGGCUAGGCAAUGCCAGUCUCAGAGAACAAUACCCAGCCUUAUAUAACAUCGCUUGUGAAAAGAAUAAUAUUAUUGCGCAUGUGCUCGGCUCUUCCCCGCCGAAUAUUUCGUUCAAGCGGGAUUUGAUUGGCCCCCGACUUGUGUCAUGGCAUAAUCUUUUAUCCCGACUUGAUUCGAUUAACCUGACACAAGGCCAGGAUGUGUUCCGCUCAAACCUUACUACAUCAAGGUCUUUCACAGUUAUUUUCCAGUGUACGCACUCGCUACGUAUGUGGUCUUAUGCUACAACGGCCGGAGUACCAACCGCUGUUCAUGGCGUUGUGUACGCGAUUGGAGCAGGUGGGUACGGAGGUUUUUUCCCAACAUGGGUGGUAGAAUAA